Molecule: long non-coding RNA, 214 nt
Filed under: Lathyrus oleraceus (garden pea)
Lineage: Eukaryota; Viridiplantae; Streptophyta; Magnoliopsida; Fabales; Fabaceae
Description: Pisum sativum (pea) long non-coding RNA (PSAT_LNC026777)
Source: RNAcentral
ACGGGCGGUGGUGGUGGUGGAUCCAUGAUAGGUGUGAAAGAUGGUGGGUGUGUUGUAGAAGAACCUUCUCCUUGUUCUUGUCGUUGUCUAGCUUGUUGCCUCCUUCGUCUCGUUCUGCUAUUCAGUCUCCUUGCGGUUCUUUCGAUCUCGGGAUCAAAAAUAAGUUGGUCCUCAGGAACCUGCCCUCGCAUAAAACGAAAGCUGCACACUAAAC